Molecule: non-coding RNA, 82 nt
Organism: Phyllosticta citribraziliensis
Lineage: Eukaryota; Fungi; Ascomycota; Dothideomycetes; Botryosphaeriales; Phyllostictaceae
Source: the annotation of a GenBank genome assembly
GGUCGCUUAGCUCAGUUGGUUAGAGCGUGGUGCUAAUAUCAAGUUAACGCCAAGGUCGCGAGUUCGACCCUCGUAGUGACCA